This 560-nucleotide ribosomal RNA is filed under the name bacterium enrichment culture clone ZZ_D2b. RNAcentral describes it as "bacterial SSU rRNA". It matches the Rfam family "Bacterial small subunit ribosomal RNA", at positions 918 to 1482 of the family's 1533-position model. The record is from RNAcentral.
GGCCCGCACAAGCGGUGGCUUAUGUGGUNUAANNNGAAGNNACGCGAAGAACCUUACCAGGACUUGACAUCCUACUAACGAGGUAGAGAUACGUCAGGUGCCCUUCGGGGAAAGUAGNGACAGGUGGUGCAUGGUUGUCGUCAGCUCGUGUCGUGAGANGNUGGGUUAAGUCCCGCAAGAGCGCAACCCCUAUUGUUAGUUGCUACGCAAGAGCACUCUAGCGAGACUGCCGUUGACAAAACGGAGGAAGGUGGGGACGACGUCAAAUCAUCAUGCCCCUUAUGUCCUGGGCUACACACGUAAUACAAUGGCGGUCAACAGAGGGAUGCAAAGCCGUGAGGCAGAGCGAACCCCUAAAAGCCGUCUCAGUUCGGAUCGUAGGCUGCAACUCGCCUACGUGAAGUCGGAAUCGCUAGUAAUCGCGGAUCAGAAUGCCGCGGUGAAUACGUUCCCGGGCCUUGUACACACCGCCCGUCACACCAUGAGAGUCGGGAACACCCGAAGCCCGUAGCCUAACUGCAAAGAGGGCGCGGUCGAAGGUGGGUUCGAUAAUUGGGGNG